CUGACUGAUAUCGGAUUGGAGUCAGCGAUGCGAGUCAUAGUAGCACUAUAAGGCAGUCGGCUCAGUAACACGUAGUCAACCUAAGUCGUGGACUCGGAUAACCUCGGGAAACUGAGAUCCAACCACGAUAGAUCAUAGUGCCUGGAAUGGCUUAUGGUCCAAACAGCUUACUGCCAUGAGAUGGGACUGCGGCUUAUCAGCUAGUUCGUGAGGUAAUUGCCCACCAAGGCGAUUACAGGUUCUGGCUCUGAGAGGAGUAGCCCGGAGAUGGGUACUGAGACAAGGAGCCAGGCCGUAUGGGGAGCAGCAGGCGACAAUCCUCAGCAAUGUCAGAAAGCACGAUUGGGUCAGUCCGAGUGGUUCUUGCUAAAGGAACCUUUCGUCAGUCGUAAAACCACAGACGAAUAAGGGGUGGGCAAGUAUCGUGUCCGCCUCCGCGGUAAUACCAGCACCUCGAGUGCUCAGGAGGUUUAUUUGGCCUAAAGCAUCCGUAGCCGCCUUUACAAGUGUCCGGUUAAAUCUAUCUGCUCAACAGAUGGGCGGCCGGGGAUACGAUAUAGCUAGGGAGCGGGAGAGGUAGACGGUCUUCUGUGGGUAGGGCUAAAAUACACUGAUCCAUAGAGGACCACCAGUCGUGAAGCCGGUCUGCCAGAACGCUUUAGACGGUGAGGGAUGAAAGUUGGGGGAGCAAUCCAGAUUAGAUACCCGGGUAGUCCCAGCUGUAAUGGAUGCUAACUCGGUGAUGCAUUGACUUUUGGCCAAUGCAGUGCCGCAGGGAAGCCGUUAAGUUUGCCGCCUGGGAAGUACGGACGCAAGUCUGAAACUUAAAGGAAU
Molecule: ribosomal RNA, 834 nt
Filed under: uncultured archaeon
Lineage: Archaea
Description: bacterial SSU rRNA
Rfam family: Archaeal small subunit ribosomal RNA
Source: RNAcentral